RNAcentral lists this ribosomal RNA (446 nucleotides) under Asadipus kunderang. RNAcentral describes it as "partial 16S ribosomal RNA". Lineage: Eukaryota; Metazoa; Arthropoda; Arachnida; Araneae; Lamponidae. The record is from RNAcentral.
UUCUAUAAGAUAUUAUUUAUAGUAUAAUCUGCUCAAUGGUUAUUAAAUAGCCGCAGAUAUUCUGUGCUAAGGUAGCAUAAUCACUCGAUUUUUAAUUAAAAUCUAGAACAAACGAUUAAACAUUUUAUUAAAUUUCUUAAAUUUUAAAUUUUUAAAUUAUCUUAACUGUAAAAAGACAGUUAUAUAACAGAAAGACGACAAGACCCUAUUGAACUUAACUAAAGUUUCAAGCUGGGGUAGCUAAUAAAUUAUUACUUUUAUUUAUAUAAAAAAAUAAAUUGACCUAAUAUUAUUAAUAAUAUAAUCAAGUUACCAUAGGGAUAACAGCAUAAUAAUUAUUUAAAGCUCUUAUUAAAAUAAUAGAUUAUGACCUCGAUGUUGAAUAAUAUUCUUUAACUUACGUAAAAAUAAUAAAAGAAAGUCUGUUCGACUUUUAAAAAAUUACA